GGGGUCGUGGGCCAGCGGAGUGGCCGCCGCGCUGUCGACGCGGAGAUCACGGGUUCAAAUCCCGUCGGCCUCG
RNAcentral lists this transfer RNA (73 nucleotides) under Acidobacteriota bacterium. Its description in RNAcentral is "Acidobacteria bacterium (bioreactor metagenome) tRNA-Asp". It matches the Rfam family "tRNA". From Rfam's summary of the family: Transfer RNA (tRNA) molecules are approximately 80 nucleotides in length. The record is from RNAcentral. Lineage: Bacteria; Pseudomonadati; Acidobacteriota.